UACUACGGCUAUGCCACCCUGAACGUGCCCGAUCUUGUCUGAUCUCGGAAGCCAAGCAGGGUCGAGCCUGGUUAGUACUUGGAUAGGAGACCACCUUGGAAUACCAAGUGCUGUAGGAG
This 119-nucleotide ribosomal RNA is filed under the name Pteropus alecto (black flying fox). Lineage: Eukaryota; Metazoa; Chordata; Mammalia; Chiroptera; Pteropodidae. The record is from RNAcentral.